UUCCGUAGGUGAACCUGCGGAAGGAUCAUUGUCGAAACCUGCUUAGCAGAACGACCCGCGAACAUGUUUAUCUACCGCGGUAGGUGCCUUGUGCUCCUAACGCAAGGCUCUGUGGAGUGUAAUACGCCUCACAGGUGCUUAAAAAACAAACCCCGGCGCGGAAGGCGCCAAGGAAAACUAAUGAAAAAGCGAGAACUCCCUCAUCAUCCCAGUAAUGGUGCAUGCAUGGGGGAUGUUUCUCCUUGCAAAAUCUAAACGACUCUCGGCAACGGAUAUCUUGGCUCUCGCAUCGAUGAAGAACGUAGCGAAAUGCGAUACUUGGUGUGAAUUGCAGAAUCCCGUGAACCAUCGAGUCUUUGAACGCAAGUUGCGCCCAAAGCCUUCGGGCUGAGGGCACGUCUGCCUGGGUGUCACGUAACGUCGCUCCACUUUUCCCAUCAUUUUGGGAUCAUGAAUUUGUUGAGCGGAAACUGGCCUCCCGUGAGCCUAAUCGCGGCUGGCUAAAACAUGAGUCCAAGUCGGCGAGUGCCGUGGCAUUCGGUGGUUGUAAAUCACUAGAUAUUGCUGCUAUUAGGCCAAACCUACAAGGAUCUCUUGGACCCUUUUGUUUAUUCGACGCGACCCCAGGUC
RNAcentral lists this ribosomal RNA (630 nucleotides) under Cathetus ussuriensis. RNAcentral's name for it is "eukaryotic LSU rRNA". The stretch from base 258 to 413 matches the Rfam family "5.8S ribosomal RNA". Lineage: Eukaryota; Viridiplantae; Streptophyta; Magnoliopsida; Malpighiales; Phyllanthaceae. The record is from RNAcentral.